CCUACGGGAGGCAGCAGUGGGGAAUAUUGCACAAUGGGGGAAACCCUGAUGCAGCGACGCCGCGUGAGUGAAGAAGUAUUUCGGUAUGUAAAGCCCUAUCAGCAGGGAAGAAGAAAUGACGGUACCUGAGUAAGAAGCACCGGCUAAAUACGUGCCAGCAGCCGCGGUAAUACGUAUGGUGCAAGCGUUAUCCGGAUUUACUGGGUGUAAAGGGAGCGCAGGCGGCACGGCAAGCCUGACGUGAAAGCCCGCGGCCCAACCGCCGGACUGCCUUGGGAACUAGCGGGCUGGAGUGGCGGAGAGGUAGGCGGAAUGCCGAGUGUAGCGGUGAAAUGCGUAGAUAUUAGGCGGAACACCGGUGGCGAAGGCAGCAUACCGGACGCGGACUGACGCUGAGGCACGAAAGCGUGGGGAGCGAACAGGAUUAGAUACCCCUGUAGUC
This 442-nucleotide ribosomal RNA is filed under the name uncultured bacterium. Its description in RNAcentral is "partial 16S ribosomal RNA". It matches the Rfam family "Bacterial small subunit ribosomal RNA", at positions 338 to 795 of the family's 1533-position model. The record is from RNAcentral.